GAUGAACGCUGGCGGCGUGCCUAAUACAUGCAAGUCGAGCGAACAGACGAGGAGCUUGCUCCUCUGACGUUAGCGGCGGACGGGUGAGUAACACGUGGAUAACCUACCUAUAAGACUGGGAUAACUUCGGGACACCGGAGCUAAUACCGGAUAAUAUAUUGAACCGCAUGGUUCACUAGUGAAAGACGGUUUUGCUGUCACUUAUAGAUGGAUCCGCGCCGCAUUAGCUAGUUGGUAAGGUAACGGCUUACCAAGGCAACGAUGCGUAGCCGACCUGAGAGGUUGAUCGGCCACACUGGAACUGAGACACGGUCCAGACUCCUACGGGAGGCAGCAGUAGGGAAUCUUCCGCAAUGGGCGAAAGCCUGACGGAGCAACGCCGCGUGAGUGAUGAAGGUCUUCGGAUCGUAAAACUCUGUUAUUAGGGAAGAACAAAUGUGUAAGUAACUAUGCACGUCUUGACGGUACCUAAUCAGAAAGCCACGGCUAACUACGUG
RNAcentral lists this ribosomal RNA (497 nucleotides) under uncultured bacterium. RNAcentral describes it as "partial 16S ribosomal RNA". It matches the Rfam family "Bacterial small subunit ribosomal RNA", at positions 28 to 507 of the family's 1533-position model. The record is from RNAcentral.